This 898-nucleotide ribosomal RNA is filed under the name Bacillus paranthracis. Its description in RNAcentral is "bacterial SSU rRNA". It matches the Rfam family "Bacterial small subunit ribosomal RNA", at positions 1 to 886 of the family's 1533-position model. Lineage: Bacteria; Bacillati; Bacillota; Bacilli; Caryophanales; Bacillaceae. The record is from RNAcentral.
UUUUUUUUUUUUCUCGUCUGAGGACCACUGCCGGCGUGCCUCAUACAUCAUAGUAGUCGAGAUGGCAUAAGAGAGUUCUCUUAUGAAGUUAACCGCGGACGGGUGAAUUACCCGUGGGUAACCUGCCCAUAAGGCUGGGAUUACUUCGGGAAACCGGGAGUUAUUCCGGAUUACAUCUUGAACCGCCAGGUUUGAAAUUGAAAGGCCGGUUUGGCUGUCCAUUAUCGAAGGGCCCGGGGCGCCAUAAGUUAGUGGUGAGGGUACGGGUCCCCCAAGCAGCGAAGGGUUACCGGCCUGGGAAGGUUGUUGGCCCCCAUGGGGAUGGAGCCCGGCCCCAGAUUCUUCGGGGGGCCACCAUUAGGAAUUUUUCCCCAAGGGAGAAAAUUUGGCGGAACCACCCCGGGUGGAGGAAGAAAGGUUUUGGGUUGUAAAACUUUUUUGUUUGGGAAGGACCAAUUCUAGUAGAAUAAGCUGGCACCUUGACGGUACCUAACCAGAAAGCCACGGCUAACUACGUGCCAGCAGCCGCGGUAAUACGUAGGUGGCAAGCGUUAUCCGGAAUUAUUGGGCGUAAAGCGCGCGCAGGCGGUUUCUUAAGUCUGAUGUGAAAGCCCACGGCUCAACCGUGGAGGGUCAUUGGAAACUGGGAGACUUGAGUGCAGAAGAGGAAAGUGGAAUUCCAUGUGUAGCGGUGAAAUGCGUAGAGAUAUGGAGGAACACCAGUGGCGAAGGCGACUUUCUGGUCUGUAACUGACGCUGAGGCGCGAAAGCGUGGGGAGCAAACAGGAUUAGAUACCCUGGUAGUCCACGCCGUAAACGAUGAGUGCUAAGUGUUAGAGGGUUUCCGCCCUUUAGUGCUGCAGUUAACGCAUUAAGCACUCCGCCCUGGGAGACGGGA